GCCUGGCUGGCUCAGUUGGUAGAGCAUGUAACUUCUGAUCUCAGGGUCCUGAGUUUGAGCCCCAUGCUGGGCA
Molecule: non-coding RNA, 73 nt
Organism: Neogale vison (American mink)
Lineage: Eukaryota; Metazoa; Chordata; Mammalia; Carnivora; Mustelidae
Source: the annotation of a RefSeq genome assembly